GCGGGGUCCUUCCUCUGGCACUCCUUGUCAGAGCCUGAGCUGCACGCAGUGCCCUUGGCCUUGAGCUCUGGUAUCUUAUGCCUUAUUUUUGUGGUGGAGAAUUCUUAAGAGUUGUGGGAUGCUGACAAAGUUUAGCCCCAAAGUUUCUGCCUCCUGGGGUCUGGCUCUACUUCUACCACAAGCUUCAGCAUGGCAGAAUCUCUCCCCGCUUUCUCUGAGCUGAGGACGGAAAUGAGCAUCCUGGAAACCAGCCAGUACUUGUGCUCCCAGCUGGAAAAAACCAAACAGAGCUUCCGAGGCCUCACAGAGAAGUUCCUCACAUCCAGGGCUACUGCCUAUACCCUGGCCAACCAGCUGCAGAAAUACAGGAAGCCCUGUGUGGUCCCAGUCAUCAGAGUGCCCGUCUUCCCUCUGAGAAACUAAACACUCCCCAAACUUAAUUCCUCUCUCUCCAUCAAAAUAAAUCUCAUCCUGACUAUGCUCCUGGAAAGAGAGUGAAGAGCACAAAGCCCUCACUGACUCCGUGCUGGAGGAGGAAGCGCCGCUUGGGGGAGAGCCUGCCGAGAAGACGAGAUUGGGGUCGGCUGCAGGCUGGGGGUAUAUCCCCGAAUUCAGGCUUAGGCCCGAGAACUGACCCACUUAUGACAGAAGAUACAGGAAGAGAAAGGUGUCUGUUAUCUUUUCAUUCAGCAUAUGAAGAGCAUAGUCCAGUCUUUUGAGAUCCUCCUCAGGACACUGACAUUCCCAGCCACCAGGGACAGAGAUUCCGUGAGCAGCUGGCCCAAGGAAGCCAGCUGGCAGCCUGGCCUGCACACUAGUCAACAGGCCCAGCAGGGGGCGCCAGGAGGAAGCAGUGGAUGAAGGCCAGGGAGACACCCUAGGUAGCAGGAUUGGACUCCUUCCAGUCUCGGUGGGUGACUCUCAGCAGCUUCCCAGCACCAGCUCCUUCCCGCCUGACAUGCAGGAAGCCAGCGCUGCUGUGGCAGCCCCACAAAUGACUGCUUCUGAAGGUGCAUGUUUGAAGCAAGGCACAUCUCCUGGGGGUUGUGAAAGGCCUUCAUUUUUCUCC
Suricata suricatta (meerkat) is the source of this 1069-nucleotide long non-coding RNA. RefSeq lists it as uncharacterized. The record is from RefSeq and is a predicted model, not a curated record. The transcript is spliced from 6 exons. NCBI's taxonomy places the organism in Eukaryota, Metazoa, Chordata, Mammalia, Carnivora, Herpestidae.